GUUUAAGAAGGGGCAUAUGAUACGUCAUUGCCACCAAAGUUCCAUUGGUCUUGUUAGCUGGGCCGAUCGAAGGUGUGUGAAUUAUCCGGGCUGAAUUCCACGAUCUCCUGUUCCGGAAACGGUACAUGCAUCAACAGUGAAUGGCUGAGGCAGUCAGUCACACGUGCAGGAUGCCCACAGCUUGGCGGGUGCCAGUUGAAGCCAGUGAACAUCGACAGCAGACAGGGGCAGGACAAAAAUGACCCGGGGUCCCAUGUCUAUUACAUAUAUGUGGAUAUCAAGUCAUAAUGUAGAUAAAAGUAACACACUUAUAACAAUACAAUAUACUUAGAAUACCAUAUGACGAUGAAUAUGAUUGCAAAAGGUCCAAAAUAAAAAGUUCGCUUGAAAUAUUAGUUGAUUGCUAGAAACUGAACAGCAAAUGAGAACCAAAGUUUUCAAAUUAUGAAUGAAUUAUAACCGCUGACGAGAAAAAGCAACACUAGAUCAUGAUUGCCAAUAAAAAAAUCACUUAGCAUAUAUUAAUUACAGUUGUGUAAUAAGUAAGUUAAAAUCAUUACCUUUCUAAAAUGGUUUCCUGCAUUCUUUCAUGGCCUCAAAGCGAACAAUUACAACAUCAUGCCCCUAAAGCCACUGAUCAAUACAAUAGCCAAAUAGUCUAAUAGCUAAUACAGUCAAAAUGUGUAGUCUUAUCCAGUAGCCCUAAUAUCCUAGGGUUAGACAAAUAAAGUAAGAAUUAGAGCAUAAUUUGGGAAUUGAAAUAGAGGCAGACACACGCUGCGAAUUGGGGUCUAAUGCAACAUACCUUCACUGAUU
Molecule: long non-coding RNA, 816 nt
Filed under: Triticum aestivum (bread wheat)
Lineage: Eukaryota; Viridiplantae; Streptophyta; Magnoliopsida; Poales; Poaceae
Description: long non-coding RNA (TAES_LNC005999)
Source: RNAcentral